GGAUUUGGGGUCGCCACAGGUUGGUAUCAAAGCUGUAGGUUAUAAACGUUAGGAAUGCGAAACCUAGGUUAUAACCUUAGUACAAUGGAGGACAAAAGUUAAGAUAGAUAUUCAGUGAACCAAGAGACGAAGUACUCUGGUGAGAAGUUAUAGGAUAUGAUGAGUCGAAGAGAUUCAUCAAGUGGUACUAAAUAAAAUAUUCCUUCAUUUUAUCGAUGAAUAUAUUUUAUUUCGGUACUAAUGUUGUCUCGAUUAUUGUGGUCAUAAGAUGAAUGACGAAAGUCAAGAAAGUAAUUCCUUGACCCAAGAGACGAUGGACUCUAGCGAGGAGUACACAGACAGUGAGAUGAUAAGAGAUUUGUUAGUUAGGAACGAUGACUUAAAGGUUAGAGCUGAGCAAGUGGAGGCACAGAAUCGUACUUUCC
RNAcentral lists this long non-coding RNA (425 nucleotides) under Panax ginseng (ginseng). RNAcentral describes it as "long non-coding RNA (PGIN_LNC008011)". Lineage: Eukaryota; Viridiplantae; Streptophyta; Magnoliopsida; Apiales; Araliaceae. The record is from RNAcentral.